Molecule: small nucleolar RNA, 75 nt
Organism: Choloepus didactylus (southern two-toed sloth)
Lineage: Eukaryota; Metazoa; Chordata; Mammalia; Pilosa; Megalonychidae
Product: small nucleolar RNA SNORD113/SNORD114 family
Exons: 1
Source: RefSeq, a predicted model, not a curated record
UGGACCACUGAUGACCACUGGUGGCGUGUGAGUCAUAGAUGACGAACACGAUGUGUCUGGAUCCCUGGGGCUCAA